Long non-coding RNA from Sycon ciliatum, 482 nucleotides. RefSeq lists it as uncharacterized. The record is from RefSeq and is a predicted model, not a curated record. NCBI's taxonomy places the organism in Eukaryota, Metazoa, Porifera, Calcarea, Leucosolenida, Sycettidae. The transcript is spliced from 2 exons.
GGGUGAUUAGGAUAAUGAUGUACAUGUAUGCAAUCCUGGAAUCGAAUCUACCGUUUUUCUCCUGAUGUCGUAUCCAUACUAUUGACACGUGCCUUUUAGGCCUCUACGGGACAAGUAUGCCUUAUUUUAGGUGUCUAAUUAUUUAUCUAUCUCCCGUAAACGGGUUCAUAAUCGUCUUUAUUUUAUAUCUUCACACAAGGCCUGGGGCCUUCCUUAUUUGGUAUACGCUGUUAUUUCCCCACAUGGCUCCCGCUCUUUAUGCAACAGUUCGUACAGAUAUUUACUACGGUUUGAUACGCUAUUGCAUGCGGGACCAGCAAUCUCGUGGCCAUGGACUUCCAUGGCCGCAACUAGAUACUAUUGCCAUCACCUUCCUUUUCUCUCUCUCUCUUGCCUUCCACCUUCAGGCGGAAGCUUCGGCUUUCGUCUGUCUUGCCUUGUGCUCUCAAUAUCGUCUAUUGAACUAAGUUAGCUCCUUUCAA